This is a long non-coding RNA of Sorghum bicolor (sorghum), 726 nucleotides long. RefSeq lists it as uncharacterized. Lineage: Eukaryota; Viridiplantae; Streptophyta; Magnoliopsida; Poales; Poaceae. The transcript is spliced from 3 exons. The record is from RefSeq and is a predicted model, not a curated record.
ACGAUCACACACACCAGACUCACCCCGCCGCCGCCACACUCACCCCGCCGCCGCCGCACCAGCCACGCCGGGCCGGCCGACCAAGCCCGCGCGCCGCCUCCUUCCGAGCUAGUCACUCCGACCGGCCGCAUCCACCCGGCAUUGCUCGCCCCGACCCCGGCCAGGACCCCACCUCGCCGCCGUCGCGCCGGCGACGCCCAGCUGGCCGUCCAAGCCCGGCGCGCCGCUGCAUCCCCUGUGCCUCAUCCCGGCCGGACGCAUCCCUAGCUCCGGCGAGCGCGUGCGCGAGCUCCGUGAAGUCGAACCCGCUGCAGAGCACAAGCACAAGCAUGAGUGCGACGUCCACGGCCGGCAGGAGCAAUUUUCUGAAGGAGGUGUAGCAGUGUGUUGCAGGGAAGUGUCAGUGAGUAUUGCUUCCACAACCGUAAAGCAGCACCAAUUAUCAUUGUGCCUGGCAAAGAAUCAAUCAGCAGCAUCGAAUAACAUGCCUCGUCAACUUGGAGAUUCACCGGGAUCGCAUCUUGGGCCUCAUCAACUAGGACCUUCACCAUGAUGGGUUUGUGACAACUAUGAUGCUAUUGUAGUUAGCUGGACUUGUGAAAACACUUGUGCUGUAAUUUGGACAAAUACGAUGCUAUUGUGGUUGGACUUGUGGACUUGUGGUUGAUUUUGGACAAAUAUGAUGCACUCGUGAGAUAUGUGACAUAUAUUGUGGUGUUUGUGAUA